Schistosoma mattheei is the source of this 45-nucleotide non-coding RNA. The record is from Rfam. Lineage: Eukaryota; Metazoa; Platyhelminthes; Trematoda; Strigeidida; Schistosomatidae.
AUCCAGCUGAUGAGUCCAAAAUCGGACGGAACGUGCGUCCUAGAU